AGGACGAACGCUGGCGGCGUGCUUAACACAUGCAAGUCGAACGAGGUGCUUGCACCUAGUGGCGAACGGGUGAGUAACACGUGAGCAACCUGCCCUUGGCUCUGGGAUAGCCUCCGGAAACGGGGAUUAAUACCGGACAUGACCUUCUUCCGCAUGGUUGAAGGUGGAAAGUUUUUCGGCCAGGGAGGGGCUCGCGGCCUAUCAGCUUGUUGGAGGGGUAACGGCCCACCAAGGCGACGACGGGUA
RNAcentral lists this ribosomal RNA (246 nucleotides) under uncultured bacterium. Its description in RNAcentral is "partial small subunit ribosomal RNA". It matches the Rfam family "Bacterial small subunit ribosomal RNA", at positions 26 to 285 of the family's 1533-position model. The record is from RNAcentral.